AGUUUUGGGACAAAGAACGCAAAUAUUUGAGCUUGCUUAUUUAUGUGCUUGCUUGCUUGCUUUUCUUAAUACAUAAAGAGCAACCCUAAAGUUACCGUAGAUAGGAAAAUUGACAAAAACGGCACCGUAUUCAUCUAAGCGCUCAGAUAUGCACAGCUCAGCAAUUUUAAUUCAUUGGUGCUGGACAAACAGGAGCACCUCACCUAAUAAUUUCACUUCAUACAACGUAAAAAUAGAUCGUGGAGGAAAAAAAUGGAUUAUAUUAUUCAAGGAGGCUGCCCAGAUCUGAUUAAAAGCUCUUCUGCGUCUACAGGGACAUUUUGUCAUCCUUUCUCUCCCUGAAUUCCCAUCCCCCACGGAGCGAUUAAGCCAAGUGAGCUAAACAAUACUGGAGUAAACUUUCUAUCAGUCACUGUGGAAAGCAGUAAGUCGAUCCGGGGUCGGAUUUUUCUGGAUCCACACCGCGGUGGGGGAUGAUAAGGAGGGCGAGCCCACAUCCACUUCAGCCUCCUCCUCCAACCCCAGCCGAAGGCACUGGAAGACCGAACGCUUCCCAUGGGCAUAAAGUUCAAGAUGCCUUCACGGUGCCUCUCGGGACCGAGAAGAGAACGUCAAGAAGGGGUGCCAGGGCACGGCAGGCCUGGCAGAAGCAACCCCAAGAUACACCCCCCAGAGCCAGCCACCGCGGAGAGAUGUAAUUCUCUGUGAAAAGACUCUUACAGCUUUACCCACAGUCAAGGAUUUCUCACUCAGCUGAAGUUUUGAGAAGAGGCUCAUUCUGGGCUGGGGAGCAUGGGUGAAGUACUUUGCAAGUGUGAGGAUCCGAGUUCAGACCUUCAGGAUGCAGGAGAAGAUGGGCACGGUAGUGUGCUGUCUGGGAGGUGCUCUGCUGGUAAAGGAGUUUUCAUCAUGCCUGAUGACCCAAGUUCCAUCCCCAGAACCCACAUGACAGAAGUGACUCUUGAAAGUUGUUCUCUGACCUCUACAUGGGGGUCCUAUCUCCAUAAAAUAAAUGUAUAA
This is a long non-coding RNA of Meriones unguiculatus (Mongolian gerbil), 1020 nucleotides long. RefSeq lists it as uncharacterized. The transcript has 3 exons. The record is from RefSeq and is a predicted model, not a curated record. NCBI's taxonomy places the organism in Eukaryota, Metazoa, Chordata, Mammalia, Rodentia, Muridae.